RNAcentral lists this transfer RNA (72 nucleotides) under Stegodyphus dumicola. RNAcentral's name for it is "tRNA-Pro". It matches the Rfam family "tRNA". Rfam says of the family: Transfer RNA (tRNA) molecules are approximately 80 nucleotides in length. The record is from RNAcentral. Lineage: Eukaryota; Metazoa; Arthropoda; Arachnida; Araneae; Eresidae.
GGUUCGGUGGUCUAGAGGUAUGAUUCUCGCUUCGGGUGUGAGAGGUCCCGGGUUCAACUCCCGGCCGAGCCC